UACGAGGAUCUGACACUCUGUUCUGGCUGU
This 30-nucleotide non-coding RNA is filed under the name Mus musculus (house mouse). Lineage: Eukaryota; Metazoa; Chordata; Mammalia; Rodentia; Muridae. The record is from RNAcentral.